GUGACAGCAGCCGCGGUAAUACGGAGGGUGCAAACGUUGCUCGGAAUUAUUGGGCGUAAAGCGUACGUAGGCGGUCCAGCAAGUCGGGUGUGAAAGCCCUCGGUUUAACCGAGGAAGUGCAUUCGAAACUACAGGACUNGGAUACUGGAGAGGAUUGCGGAAUUCCCGGUGUAGAGGUGAAAUUCGNNGAUAUCGGGAGGAACACCAGUGGNGAAGGNGGNAAUCUGGACAGAUAUUGACGCUGAUGUACGAAAGCGUGGGGAGCAAACA
RNAcentral lists this ribosomal RNA (270 nucleotides) under unidentified soil organism R6-113. RNAcentral describes it as "partial 16S ribosomal RNA". It matches the Rfam family "Bacterial small subunit ribosomal RNA", at positions 505 to 774 of the family's 1533-position model. The record is from RNAcentral.